RNAcentral lists this ribosomal RNA (839 nucleotides) under uncultured Bacteroidota bacterium. RNAcentral describes it as "bacterial SSU rRNA". It matches the Rfam family "Bacterial small subunit ribosomal RNA", at positions 70 to 902 of the family's 1533-position model. The record is from RNAcentral. Lineage: Bacteria; Pseudomonadati; Bacteroidota.
AACGGCAGCUUAGCUUGCUAAGCUGGACGUCGACCGGCGCACGGGUGAGUAACGCGUAUCCAACCUGCCCCACGGUGAGGGAUAACCCGCGGAAACGCGGCCUAAUACCUCAUGGUCUCCGAGUUUGCCAUCAACCUUGGAGUAAAGAUUCAUUGCCGUGGGAUGGGGAUGCGUCUGAUUAGCUUGUUGGCGGGGCAACGGCCCACCAAGGCAACGAUCAGUAGGGGUUCUGAGAGGAAAGCCCCCCACAUUGGAACUGAGACACGGUCCAAACUCCUACGGGAGGCAGCAGUGAGGAAUAUUGGUCAAUGGGCGAGAGCCUGAACCAGCCAAGUAGCGUGCAGGAAGACGGCCCUAUGGGUUGUAAACUGCUUUUAUGCGGGGAUAAAGCGGGCGACGUGUCGCCCUUUGCAGGUACCGCAUGAAUAAGGACCGGCUAAUUCCGUGCCAGCAGCCGCGGUAAUACGGAAGGUCCGGGCGUUAUCCGGAUUUAUUGGGUUUAAAGGGAGCGCAGGCCGGGUAUUAAGCGUGUUGUGAAAUGUAGGCGCCCAACGUCUGCACCGCAGCGCGAACUGGUGCCCUUGAGUACGCACGACGUUGGCGGAAUUCGCCGUGUAGCGGUGAAAUGCUUAGAUAUGGCGAAGAACUCCGAUUGCGAAGGCAGCUGACGGGAGCGCUACUGACGCUCAUGCUCGAAAGCGCGGGUAUCGAACAGGAUUAGAUACCCUGGUAGUCCGCGCGGUAAACGAUGGAUGCCCGCUAUUUGCGCAUUAGCGCAAGUGGCCAAGUGAAAACGUUAAGCAUCCCACCUGGGGAGUACGCCGGCAACGGUGCAACUC